This 581-nucleotide ribosomal RNA is filed under the name uncultured bacterium. Its description in RNAcentral is "bacterial SSU rRNA". It matches the Rfam family "Bacterial small subunit ribosomal RNA", at positions 102 to 694 of the family's 1533-position model. The record is from RNAcentral.
AAGGGAGAGGAUAAGGUAGAAGUCUACCCUCGGGACGGGGAUAGCUGCGGGAAACUGCAAGUAAUACCCGAUAAUAUCUUUGGAUCAAAGGUGUGAUUCCGCCUGGGGAUGAGUCUACUUCCUAUUAGCUAGUUGGCAGGGUAAUGGCCUACCAAGGCAACGAUGGGUAGCGGGUGUGAGAGCAUGACCCGCCUCACUGGGACUGAGAACUGCCCAGACACCUACGGGUGGCUGCAGUCGAGAAUCUUCGGCAAUGGGCGCAAGCCUGACCGAGCGACGCCGCGUGCGGGAUGAAGGCCUUCGGGUUGUAAACCGCUGUCGUAGGGGAACAAAUGUAUGGGGGUUCUCCCCUGUACUUGAGUGAUCCUAGGAGGAAGGGGAGGCUAAGCUCGUGCCAGCAGCCGCGGUAAGGCGAGCUCCCCGAACGUUAUUCGGUAUUACUGGGCUUAAAGAGUUCGUAGGCGGUCUGACAGGUCAGGUGUGAAAUCCCUCGGCUCAACCGAGGAACUGCGCUUGAAACCGUUAGACUUGAGGGAGAUAGAGGUGAGCGGAACAGAUGGUGGAGCGGUGAAAUGCGUUGA